UUGCCCUAGUAACGGCGAGUGAAGCGGCAACAGCUCAAAUUUGAAAUCUGGCCUCACGGUCCGAAUUGUAAUUUGUAGAGGAUGUUUCUGGCGACGUGUCUUCCGAGUUCCCUGGAACGGGACGCCAUAGAGGGUGAGAGCCCCGUCCGGUCGUACACCUAGCCUCUGUGAAACUCCUUCGACGAGUCGAGUAGUUUGGGAAUGCUGCUCUAAAUGGGAGGUAUACGUCUUCUAAAGCUAAAUACCGGCCAGAGACCGAUAGCGCACAAGUAGAGUGAUCGAAAGAUGAAAAGCACUUUGAAAAGAGGGUUAAAUAGUACGUGAAAUUGCUGAAAGGGAAGCGCUUAUGACCAGACUUGGGCUCGGUGAAUCAUCCGGCGUUCUCGCCGGUGCACUUUGCCGUCCCAGGCCAGCAUCAGUUCGCGCCGGGGGAUAAAGGUUUCGGGAAUGUAGCUCCCUCGGGAGUGUUAUAGCCCGUUGCGUAAUACCCUGGCGUGGACUGAGGUCCGCGCUCUGCAAGGAUGCUGGCGUAAUGGUCAUCAGUGACCCGUCUUGAAACACGGACCAAGGAGUCGUCUUCGUAUGCGAGUGUUCGGGUGUCAAACCCCUACGCGUAAUGAAAGUGAACGUAGGAGAGAGCUUCGGCGCAUCUCCGACCGAUCCUGAUGUUCUCGGAUGGAUUUGAGUAAGAGCAUACGGGGCCGGACCCGAAAGAAGGUGAACUAUGCCUGUAUAGGGUGAAGCCAGAGGAAACUCUGGUGGAGGCUCGCAGCGGUUCUGACGUGCAAAUCGAUCGUCAAAUAUGGGCAUGGGGGCGAAAGACUAAUCGAACCUUCUAGUAGCUGGUUUCCGCCGAAG
This 858-nucleotide ribosomal RNA is filed under the name Acremonium sclerotigenum. RNAcentral's name for it is "LSU rRNA". It matches the Rfam family "Eukaryotic large subunit ribosomal RNA", at positions 75 to 966 of the family's 3401-position model. Lineage: Eukaryota; Fungi; Ascomycota; Sordariomycetes; Hypocreales; Bionectriaceae. The record is from RNAcentral.